Molecule: ribosomal RNA, 250 nt
Filed under: uncultured bacterium
Lineage: Bacteria
Description: partial 16S ribosomal RNA
Rfam family: Bacterial small subunit ribosomal RNA
Source: RNAcentral
UACGUAGGGGGCGAGCGUUGUCCGGAAUCAUUGGGCGUAAAGCGCGUGUAGGCGGCUUGGUAAGUCCGGUGUGAAACCUUGGGGCUCAACCCCAAGCCUGCACUGGAUACUGCCUCGCUUGAGUCCGGGAGGGGAGAGCGGAAUCCUAGUGUAGCGGUGAAAUGCGCAGAUAUUAGGAAGAACACCGGUGGCGAAGGCGGCUCUCUGGAACGGUACUGACGCUGAGACGCGAAAGCGUGGGGAAGCCGAA